CCCCGGAUAGCUCAGCCAGUAGAAGAAGAGGCUCUUAACCUCUGGGUUGUGGGUUUGAGCCCUGUGUUGGGGA
Molecule: non-coding RNA, 73 nt
Organism: Podarcis lilfordi (Lilford's wall lizard)
Lineage: Eukaryota; Metazoa; Chordata; Lepidosauria; Squamata; Lacertidae
Source: the annotation of a GenBank genome assembly